GAUGAACGCUAGCUACAGGCUUAACACAUGCAAGUCGAGGGGAAACGACAUCGAAAGCUUGCUUUUGAUGGGCGUCGACCGGCGCACGGGUGAGUAACGCGUAUCCAACCUGCCCAUCACUUGGGAAUAACCUUGCGAAAGUAAGACUAAUACCCAAUGAUAUCCCACGAAGGCAUCGGAAUGGGAUUAAAGAUUUAUCGGUGAUGGAUGGGGAUGCGUCUGAUUAGCUUGUUGGCGGGGUAACGGCCCACCAAGGCAACGAUCAGUAGGGGUUCUGAGAGGAAGGUCCCCCACAUUGGAACUGAGACACGGUCCAAACUCCUACGGGAGGCAGCAGUGAGGAAUAUUGGCCAAUGGGCGAGGGCCUGAACCAGCCAAGUAGCGUGCAGGAAGACGGCCCUAUGGGUUGUAAACUGCUUUUAUAAGGGAAUAAAGUGGGUCACGUGUGACUUUUUGCAUGUACCUUAUGAAUAAGGACCGGCUAAUUCCGUG
This 492-nucleotide ribosomal RNA is filed under the name uncultured bacterium. RNAcentral describes it as "partial 16S ribosomal RNA". It matches the Rfam family "Bacterial small subunit ribosomal RNA", at positions 28 to 507 of the family's 1533-position model. The record is from RNAcentral.